CUGGUUGAUCCUGCCAGUAGUCAUAUGCUUGUCUCAAAGACUAAGCCAUGCAUGUCUAAGUAUGAAUGUUAUACAGUGAAACUGCGAAUGGCUCAUUAAAACAGUUAUUGUUUAUUUGAUAAUCAAAUUUACAUGGAUAACCGUGGUAAUUCUAGAGCUAAUACAUGCUGAUAUGCCUGACUCUUAGGAAGGGCUGUAUUUAUUAGAUAACAAACCAAUAUUCCUCGUGUCUAUUGUGAUGACUCAUAAUAACUGAUCGAAUCGCAUGGACUUUGUCCGCGAUACAUCAUUCAAGUUUCUGCCCCAUCAGCUUUCGAUGGUAGUGUAUUGGACUACCAUGGCUUUAACGGGUAACGGAGGAUUAGGGUUCGAUUCCGGAGAGGGAGCCUGAGAAACGGCUACCACAUCUAAGGAAGGCAGCAGGCGCGUAAAUUACCCAAUCCUAAUUCAGGGAGGUAGUGACAAGAAAUAACGGACUGAGGCCUACGCUUCAGGAUUGCAAUGAGUAGAAUUUAAACCCCUUUGCGAGGAUCAAUUGGAGGACAAGUCUGGU
This 553-nucleotide ribosomal RNA is filed under the name uncultured eukaryote. Its description in RNAcentral is "SSU rRNA". It matches the Rfam family "Eukaryotic small subunit ribosomal RNA", at positions 4 to 565 of the family's 1831-position model. The record is from RNAcentral.